GACCGCCGGAAUGAUGCAUGCAGCACGCACGUGUUGAUGAUGAUGCUGAUGACGGUCAUCGUCAUAACAAUCACUCUCACCGCUGCAGACCUGCCUAUAUUUGAUCGUAUCGCGCUCUGCGUCGCGAGGAGAGUAACUACCAGAGGGACCUGGAAUCUUCCCCCAGCCCCCCUUUCGGGGUCUGGGGAACCUUGGCGGCCCACACAUCACCCCCUACUGGUGGGUGUCUGCUAGUGCAGGUAAGUACCCCGAUUAUUGCGUUACACAUUUAUGCUACUUACAUUUCUCUGACACAUUUAUUUCUGAUGAAUAUGAUUUCAAUAUUCAAAAAUGUAUUCUCUUCCUGUGCCGUAUUAUCACAGUGCCUGCCUACAAUACAGUAUUUAGAAAAUAAUCUACAUAUUUAAAGGCACCAUGCAAUACUCUCACCUAUCAAUGUCAAUGUUUGUCUGUCUGUGUGUCUGUCUGUGUGUGUGCGGCAAGUUCCAAUUUCGCGUCUGUCACCUUUAGUUUAAUUAGCGAUUUAGUGCUGCUUUAGGUUACUUCUUUAUUACAUAGCGCCUGCUCGACCGUACCAACUAGCACGAGUUCGGUGGGGGAUAGGGCCCCUACCAAGUCACACGCGUUCGGUGGGGGUGAGGGGGGAAUUAUAAUUUGGGUCAACACCCUAUAAGGUAAGUCGCACAUUGCUCUAGCUGUGGCAUCAUCGGGGAUUGCGGCAAUGCAGCUUACUGGAGGAAGAACUGUCCAUUCCACAUUGGAUCUAUCCCGACAAGACAACCCUGUUUGCAAUAUAGCCCUUGCACAAGUCCUGCUUAAUUGUGAAUUCAUAGUGUGAGAUGAAUGCACCAUGUUCCACAAGGGAGCGUUUGAGGCUGUCAACAAAACUUUGCAGGACCUCCGCGACAAUUCCAGCAUUAUGGAUGGUGUAACUUUACUCAUGCCUGGUGACUUGCGACAAACCUUACCUGUUGUACUUCGAGGAACCAAAGCUAAUGAGUUAAAUGCCUGCAUCAAGUCAUCAUUCCUCUGGAGGCACGUGAUGAAACUGAGACUAAC
Long non-coding RNA from Petromyzon marinus (sea lamprey), 1059 nucleotides. RefSeq lists it as uncharacterized. NCBI's taxonomy places the organism in Eukaryota, Metazoa, Chordata, Hyperoartia, Petromyzontiformes, Petromyzontidae. The record is from RefSeq and is a predicted model, not a curated record.